This 287-nucleotide long non-coding RNA is filed under the name Cavia porcellus (domestic guinea pig). RNAcentral's name for it is "lncRNA (ENSCPOG00000040273.1)". The record is from RNAcentral. Lineage: Eukaryota; Metazoa; Chordata; Mammalia; Rodentia; Caviidae.
UAUAAUGAUCAAAUUAUUGUUAUUAUACAACUAGGUGGCUGCUGAAAUUCAUCAGAGGCAGGUGGAAGACGAAAAGGAAAACCAGCCAGCAGACUCAAAAGAAAAGAUUCCUCAGAUGGGUGGGAAUAAAAAGGUCAAGAAGGAAAAGGAGCCACCUAAGAAAAAAAAGGCAGAUAAGAAAGCAAAAGAUAAGUCACCACCCACAGCAGAAGCCACUGUGACAGUGACAGCAGAGGAAAUGGCUGAAAUGGAGAGGAAAAAUGAAUUGAGACUCAAAAUAAAGGAAG